UACGUAGGUGGCAAGCGUUGUCCGGAUUUACUGGGCGUAAAGAGCGCGCAGGCGGUCGAUUUAGUCGCGUGUGAAAGCCCCCGGCUCAACUGGGGAGGGUCACGCGAUACUGAUCGACUCGAAGGCAGGAGAGGGUAGUGGAAUUCCCGGUGUAGUGGUGAAAUGCGCAGAUAUCAGGAGGAACACCGAUGGCGAAGGCAGUGUUCUGGGCCAGUACUGACGCUGAGGAGCGAAAGCGUGGGUAGCAAACAGG
RNAcentral lists this ribosomal RNA (253 nucleotides) under uncultured bacterium. RNAcentral describes it as "partial 16S ribosomal RNA". It matches the Rfam family "Bacterial small subunit ribosomal RNA", at positions 524 to 776 of the family's 1533-position model. The record is from RNAcentral.